Saimiri boliviensis boliviensis (Bolivian squirrel monkey) is the source of this 319-nucleotide long non-coding RNA. RefSeq lists it as uncharacterized. The record is from RefSeq and is a predicted model, not a curated record. NCBI's taxonomy places the organism in Eukaryota, Metazoa, Chordata, Mammalia, Primates, Cebidae.
UUGCUAAAAACAAUGGCGCUGUCUUUCAGUGACACAGCGGAGUCUCUCGGUGAAGAUGCAGAGCGUUCUGGGUGCUGACAAGCAGCUAACGAAGAUAUGAAUGUCAGAUGUCACUGACUGGCAGCUUCAUUUUGAAUGAGGGUCACUGUCUGCCCAUUGAUAGAGGCCAGAUUGUCUUGGAAGUUCCAAAGUUACAACGAUUUCUGGCUAGUACCACGAGGUUUACUUGACUGUGGUAUGAAAAGCUGAUAAGAAAACCAUCCAGAAAAAAAGCUCUUCAUUUUACAAACAUGAAAAUAAAACAUGUAAUUUUGGAUUA